RNAcentral lists this transfer RNA (70 nucleotides) under Grimpoteuthis sp. Its description in RNAcentral is "tRNA-Gly". Lineage: Eukaryota; Metazoa; Mollusca; Cephalopoda; Octopoda; Grimpoteuthidae. The record is from RNAcentral.
AUUUUAUUAGUAUAAUUCAAGUAUUUUUGUUUUCCAAACAAAAGGUUUAAUAAAAAAAUUAAAUAAAAUA